Molecule: non-coding RNA, 697 nt
Organism: Camellia sinensis
Lineage: Eukaryota; Viridiplantae; Streptophyta; Magnoliopsida; Ericales; Theaceae
Source: RefSeq, a predicted model, not a curated record
AUGGAUUAGGAUUGUGGGAGAGAAUCCUUAUUUGACUUGGUUGUAAGUGUUUUCUUAUUAGUUUUCGAUUGGAUUAUAAGAAACUAAAUUAAUUUAAUAACUAGAAUUCUAUUCCUUGUGGGUUUGGGUUUAAUACUUGGGUACGAUUUUUCUAUUAUAAAUAUGGAUGAUUUCUCAUGUUGAAAUAUUUCAGGUUUUUGUGAGAGAUUGCAAGAUCAUACAAUACCAUAGACAUGGAUCAUAGCUAUGCCUACUGUUGUUGGGAGGACGAGAAAAUUUUUGCCACACCCUCUUGUGGGCCGAUUGAUGAUGGCAUUUAUGUUCAACUACAAUUUUCUAAUGAACUCAAGAAACCUACUCGUGGCAGCGAUAGUAUUGGCAAGAACCACGAUAGUGAUGUUAUACUGCUAGACUCAUAUAGUUGGGUAUUUUUUUUCAGUCGCAACGAUUUUCUAGAGAGCGAGAACAUGAAAGUAUUUUUGUUUGGUCAUUUACAUUGUAGGAAUUUACCCUCGAGUAUUGAAGAGUCAAUAAUAAAUGAGGUGCGCAGAUUUGCUCGUGUAAUGGUGAAUUUGUACCCAAACCCAAAAGUAUUGCCGAUUGUUCUAGAUGUUGUGGUUAGAACAUUUCAAAGACCUGAUUUGAGCGUGGAAGAGGCGGUUGCCAGGAUUAUGAGAGAAAUUAUGAGAGAACCCAA